AUGGGCACCCCGGCCCUCUGUCUCUUAGGGGUCCUUUGUCUCCUAGGGGUAAAGUUUACAGAUGCUGGAGUCAUCCCGACACCCAGGCACAAGGUGACAAAGACGGGACAAGAAGUAACCCUGAGAUGCAAGCCUAUUCUGGUCACGCAGCCCUUUACUGGUAUAGAGGGACCUCGGGGCAGGGACCAGAGCUGCUGAUCUACUUCAACAAUCAAGCCCCUAUAGAUGACUCGGGGAUGCCCAAGAAACGGUUCUCAGCAGAGAUGCCUGACAAAUCAUUCUCCACGCUGACGAUCAAGCCCACAGAACCCAAGGACUCAGCCACGUACCUGUGUGCCAGCAGCGUAGAGACAGUGCUGCUGAGUCACCCCCUCCUGGUGCAGAAACCCUCAAGCUUCCCCUUCUGCCUCCAGCCCCCAGCUGUCUGA
Non-coding RNA from Neomonachus schauinslandi (Hawaiian monk seal), 428 nucleotides. The record is from the annotation of a RefSeq genome assembly. NCBI's taxonomy places the organism in Eukaryota, Metazoa, Chordata, Mammalia, Carnivora, Phocidae.